AAGAGACAGCAGUAGCCGCGGUAAUACGUAGGUGGCAAGCGUUGUCCGGAAUUAUUGGGCGUAAAGGGCUCGCAGGCGGUUUCUUAAGUCUGAUGUGAAAGCCCCCGGCUCAACCGGGGAGGGUCAUUGGAAACUGGGAAACUUGAGUGCAGAAGAGGAGAGUGGAAUUCCACGUGUAGCGGUGAAAUGCGUAGAGAUGUGGAGGAACACCAGUGGCGAAGGCGACUCUCUGGUCUGUAACUGACGCUGAGGAGCGAAAGCGUGGGGAGCGAACAGGAUUAGAUACCCGAGUAGUCCCUGUCUCUUAUAC
RNAcentral lists this ribosomal RNA (310 nucleotides) under uncultured bacterium. Its description in RNAcentral is "partial 16S ribosomal RNA". It matches the Rfam family "Bacterial small subunit ribosomal RNA", at positions 503 to 807 of the family's 1533-position model. The record is from RNAcentral.